This 215-nucleotide long non-coding RNA is filed under the name Musa acuminata (dwarf banana). Its description in RNAcentral is "long non-coding RNA (MACU_LNC010847)". Lineage: Eukaryota; Viridiplantae; Streptophyta; Magnoliopsida; Zingiberales; Musaceae. The record is from RNAcentral.
UUUGUGUAACGUUUAUGCUAUAUCGCAUUGACACAUAUAGGCACAUGUAUAUCCUAUUGUUCCACAUUUGCUUUUGAUAUGUGCCUAUUCUAGUUUCAUUCCUUUGGAUAUUAAAUUCAUCUAACCUUCUUAUUUGAAUUGAGCUACAUAUGAUUGCUUGGAAUCCUUGUAUACUCUUGCUUUCAUUUCAUUCCAAAUCUGAAUACAUUUGUGAG